This 1346-nucleotide ribosomal RNA is filed under the name uncultured bacterium. Its description in RNAcentral is "partial 16S ribosomal RNA". It matches the Rfam family "Bacterial small subunit ribosomal RNA", at positions 28 to 1381 of the family's 1533-position model. The record is from RNAcentral.
GACGAACGCUGGCGGCGUGCUUAACACAUGCAAGUCGAACGGAAAGGCCCUGCUUUUGUGGGGUGCUCGAGUGGCGAACGGGUGAGUAACACGUGAGUAACCUGCCCUUGACUUUGGGAUAACUUCAGGAAACUGGGGCUAAUACCGGAUAGGAGCUCCUGCUGCAUGGUGGGGGUUGGAAAGUUUCGGCGGUUGGGGAUGGACUCGCGGCUUAUCAGCUUGUUGGUGGGGUAGUGGCUUACCAAGGCUUUGACGGGUAGCCGGCCUGAGAGGGUGACCGGCCACAUUGGGACUGAGAUACGGCCCAGACUCCUACGGGAGGCAGCAGUGGGGAAUAUUGCACAAUGGGCGGAAGCCUGAUGCAGCAACGCCGCGUGCGGGAUGACGGCCUUCGGGUUGUAAACCGCUUUCGCCUGUGACGAAGCGUGAGUGACAGUAAUGGGUAAAGAAGCACCGGCUAACUACGUGCCAGCAGCCGCGGUGAUACGUAGGGUGCGAGCGUUGUCCGGAUUUAUUGGGCGUAAAGGGCUCGUAGGUGGUUGAUCGCGUCGGAAGUGUAAUCUUGGGGCUUAACCCUGAGCGUGCUUUCGAUACGGGUUGACUUGAGGAAGGUAGGGGAGAAUGGAAUUCCUGGUGGAGCGGUGGAAUGCGCAGAUAUCAGGAGGAACACCAGUGGCGAAGGCGGUUCUCUGGGCCUUUCCUGACGCUGAGGAGCGAAAGCGUGGGGAGCGAACAGGCUUAGAUACCCUGGUAGUCCACGCUGUAAACGGUGGGUACUAGGUGUGGGGUCCAUUCCACGGGUUCCGUGCCGUAGCUAACGCUUUAAGUACCCCGCCUGGGGAGUACGGCCGCAAGGCUAAAACUCAAAGGAAUUGACGGGGCCCCGCACAAGCGGCGGAGCAUGCGGAUUAAUUCGAUGCAACGCGUAGAACCUUACCUGGGUUUGACAUGGAUCGGGAGUGCUCAGAGAUGGGUGUGCCUCUUUUGGGGUCGGUUCACAGGUGGUGCAUGGCUGUCGUCAGCUCGUGUCGUGAGAUGUUGGGUUAAGUCCCGCAACGAGCGCAACCCUUGUUCACUGUUGCCAGCACGUUAUGGUGGGGACUCAGUGGAGACCGCCGGGGUCAACUCGGAGGAAGGUGGGGAUGACGUCAAGUCAUCAUGCCCCUUAUGUCCAGGGCUUCACGCAUGCUACAAUGGCUGGUACAGAGAGUGGCGAGCCUGUGAGGGUGAGCGAAUCUCGGAAAGCCGGUCUCAGUUCGGAUUGGGGUCUGCAACUCGACCUCAUGAAGUCGGAGUCGCUAGUAAUCGCAGAUCAGCAACGCUGCGGUGAAUACGUUCCCGGGGCU